Molecule: non-coding RNA, 722 nt
Organism: Trichonephila clavata
Lineage: Eukaryota; Metazoa; Arthropoda; Arachnida; Araneae; Nephilidae
Source: the annotation of a GenBank genome assembly
CCCGGAAACCUGAGUUCAGGCUCCGGGGGAAGUAGGUUGCAAAGCUGGAACUUAAAGGAAUUGACGGAGGGCACUACCAGGAGUGGAGCCUACGGCUUAAUUUGACUCAACAACGGGACAACUCACCCGGUCCGGACAUGUGCUCGAUGGACAGAUUGACAGCUCUUUCUAGAUUCGUGGAUAUGGUGCAUGGCCGCAGUUGGUUCGUGGGGUGACUCUGUCUGGUUAAUUCCGAUAAACGAACGAGAUUCUCGCCUAUUAAAUAGGUGCCCUCAUCCUAUCGCGAUGGAGGGGAACUUCUUAGAGGGACCGGCGGCUUCGAAGCCGUACGAGAGAGAGCGAUUGCAGGUCUGUGAUGCCCUUAGAUGUCCGGGGCCGCACGUGCGCUACAGUAGAGGGGACAACGUGCGAAGGUGCCUCGGCCGUCGGGCCGGGUAACCCGAGCAGUCUCUUCUCAGUGCUGGGGACAGGGGAUUGUAAUUAUUCCCUCGAACGAGGAAUUCCCAGUAGGCGCGAGUCACUAACUCGUGCCGACUAAGUCACUGCCCUUUGUACACACCCCGUCGCUAUCUCCGAUUGAGCGGUGGAGUGAGGUCUUCGGACCAGCGCUCGGGCGACCCUCCGGGGUCGAGUCGACGUGCCGGAAGAUGACCGAACUUGGCCGCUUAGAGGAGGUAAAAGUCGUAACAAGGUUUCCGUAGGUGAACUGUGGAAGGAUCAUU